This 2113-nucleotide long non-coding RNA is filed under the name Gossypium barbadense (sea-island cotton). RNAcentral describes it as "long non-coding RNA (GBAR_LNC001291)". Lineage: Eukaryota; Viridiplantae; Streptophyta; Magnoliopsida; Malvales; Malvaceae. The record is from RNAcentral.
AAAAGCCAUGUCUUUAAUCUAUUUUUAGGAAAAGAAAAAGAAAACGACAGAUUUUUAUUAAUUACUUUUUCUCAUAAAAGCUAAUUAAAAUUUCAAUUUUUUUAUGGCCUUCUUAUUAUUUCUUUUAUUUGAAUUUGAUUUUAGUUUAAUUCUAUAUUUUAAUUUCAUAUUCAAAAGUAUGCCAAUCAUAUUCGAUAGCCCCUAUCUAAUCAUAUUCAUUUUCAAUCAUUUUUGUGUUUGAACUCAGUUUGUUCCUUUGUUUGAAUAACAUUUUUAUUUGAACAAGGGAAAGUAAAAAGCAUGAAGUAUCCCGUACUAGAAGUAUAUAAUAACAUUUGUUUGAAUAACAUUUUUAUUUACUAUAGCUAUAAGACUAGAAGUAUAUAAUAAGCUACCACACUACAAAAGAAGUUGCCCAUUUAAUGAAUCCAAACUACAUUACCAGGAAGAAAAAUCCCACCAACUCAACCUACUUGCCUGUCUAUCCUUCCCACCUUUUACUUUGCUACUCGACAGUCUUAUUUCAAGGUUCAAUCACGAACAAAGGCUGUAAAGAUGACAAAAAAGAACGUCUAAGCAACAAAAAACCAAAACAAAAAGGACAAAAACAAUCAAAUUUACUUCAAAUCCACAAUUCAAUACCCAUCCAUCCAUCCAUAUACAUUAUUUGAAAUAAGGUAGCAAAGAAUACUCACAGUACCAAUGCUGACUGCUUUGCCAUCUUCUACAAGGAUCUUGACUAUGGUUCCUGAUUGAUUAGCCUAUUGAAACAAUUAUUUUUCAUCUACAAUUAGCCACAUAAGAGAUAGUUUGACAAUUUCAAUAAACUAUGGAUGCAACAAAACAAUUGAUUAAGGGUUGUACAACAUAUUACAGUGAUACUGCAACUGCCAAGUGCAGUUACUAUGGGCGGUAAUCACUCAUUGGCCAAACAAACUAAAAUGCAGCUAUCAGGUUGGUUGUUGAGAAUGCUACAAGAGGAAGAACUAAUUUGGAAUCUAUUUAAUAUUAAGUCUCUUUAAGAUUAAAGUUUAAUCAAGGAAGCAUGACUGUUCAAUCAAAAAAUGGAAAACUAACUGGCCAUCUAAUUGAAACCUGCAGCACUGUAUCUGGAUAACCAAAAAGUACCAGUCAAGCUUGCUUAAGUUUCUGUUCGGCAUUGACCUUAGGGCCUUACACAUUCAAGAAUCCUAAAGAUCUUAAAAGCAAAUCUCUUGAGCCAACUACACGAAUCUUUUCCUUUCAUUCAGCCUCUGUUAAAGCAUACUCUUGUCCCACACUUAAAUUUCAUUUCUUUUUUUUCCAGAUACUAAAAAUCAUUUUUCAACAAAAAGCAUCUAAACCAUGCUUAUGACCAAAUUCAUUAAACCAUCCUUUCUUCCAGUUUAUAUAUGAUUGCAUCAACUUUAAAUUUUUUUUUUAAAUUCAUUCUCAUUCUAUCUUUUUUUUGGGUAUCUUUGCUUAUAUUCGUUUCAAUGUUUCCAUUUGGAUCACAAGCUAUGUGUGCACAUUUUCUCUACCUAAACACAAAAGGCACUAUUACUAUUAAUCUAAAGAAAGUAUUUAACCAAUCUGUUUCUGAAAAAAUAUUGCUAUGUACCGAAAAACAAAAGGUAAAUGAAAGAGAGAUCCAAGCAUUUAAAACUCUAGAAAUUGAAUGGACAUAAAAAGCCAAAGAAAGGAAAAGGAUCUAACCUUGGAGCACCCCUUCGCUGAAUGUAGAAGAGAACAAGGAAAACAGAAGUUAAUCAGAUAAAAAAAGAAAAUGUGCCCUUUACUGUAUUUGGAGAGAUGAAGAUGAAGGGCGAAUGGAUGUUUGACUUGAUUUGGGGAUAAAUGUUGAAGAAGAAAUCUAGAGAGAAUUUUGGGAAGAAGAGAGGCAGGCUAUUUUAGUCUAAAAAUGUGAAAAUGUUAUUACGGUUCUGGCGUUGAAUAGCAAUUCAGACCUCCAACUCGUGAAUGGCUAUUACAGUAGCUGAGGGAAUAAGGGUGCAAUAGCCAUUCAGUGGAAUCACUUAAACGGUGAAACAAACUACUGCUUUACUGUAGCGCGCGGAAUAGUGACGGAAUAGAAUAGCAAUUCCAUCCAACCAAACAUGCUGUUAUAAUAUCC